GACGAACGCUGGCGGCGUGCUUAACACAUGCAAGUCGAACGGACAGGCCCUGCUUUUGUGGGGUGCUCGAGUGGCGAACGGGUGAGUAACACGUGAGUAACCUGCCCUUGACUUUGGGAUAACUUCAGGAAACUGGGGCUCAUACCGGAUAGGAGCUCCUGCUGCAUGGUGGGGGUUGGAAAGUUUCGGCGGUUGGGGAUGGACUCGCGGCUUAUCCGCUUGUUGGUGGGGUAGUGGCUUACCAAGGGUGUGACGGAUAGCCGGCCUGAGAGGGUGACCGGCCACAUUGGGACUGAGAGACGGCCCAGUCUCCUACGGGAGGCAGCAGGGGAGAAUAUUGCACAAUAGGCGGAAGCCUGAGGCAGCAACGCCGCGUGCGGGAUGACGGCCUUCGGGUUGUAAACCGCUUUCGCCUGUGACGAAGCGUGAGUGACGGUAAUGGGUAAAGAAGCACCGGCUAACUACGUG
Molecule: ribosomal RNA, 468 nt
Filed under: uncultured bacterium
Lineage: Bacteria
Description: partial 16S ribosomal RNA
Rfam family: Bacterial small subunit ribosomal RNA
Source: RNAcentral